This 1222-nucleotide long non-coding RNA is filed under the name Brassica rapa (field mustard). RNAcentral's name for it is "long non-coding RNA (BRAP_LNC002511)". Lineage: Eukaryota; Viridiplantae; Streptophyta; Magnoliopsida; Brassicales; Brassicaceae. The record is from RNAcentral.
UUUGAAUCACCAAAAAAGAAGAAGAAGAGGGAAGCGAAGAAGCUUGGAAGGGCUGGUCGGACAGUCCAUUGUGGUUCAUGCGGUGAGGCAGGCCAUAACGCACUUGGUUGCAAACUCCAUCCAAAGAAAAAGAUGAAGAAGACACACCAAACCGUGGAAGAGGUAUAAUAUCAACCAAAUUUCAAAAAUUGUUAAUGUAUUUAUCCUCUUGUUUGGUUUUGUGGCAGGGCACUUCUUCUCAUGUCCAUGAAGAGAUCAGACUUACACAACCUACUCAAUCUACUCAAGCUCAAGACUAGUGGAUCUCUGUUGCUUUUGUUGUUUUUGCUGUUGUGGCUUUUGUUGCUCAAGCUUUGACGUUUUCUCAGUCCCAGUUCUGUUUUCUCCACUUUUCUUGCUGCAAUACCUUGGUGUUCUCUUUGCUGCAUCUAAGCUAAUAGAAAAAAUCGUUGUCUUACUACGUGGAGAAGCUGGUCCAGGAUUCUACUUUACGUUAUCUUAAUAAGUAAUAAGUUUCAGUAUUACUCUGUUUUGUCUUUUUAGAAACAGAGCACGUAAUGAUUUGUGAUAAUGAUAAUCAGAAGGUUGAGAUAUUGAUAAUCUCUAACAGAAAGGUCUGUUUCUUAUGUCUUUUUAGAUUAAUAUACCACUAAAUGGUUUCGUUUCUUUACAAGGUAUAAACUAUUAGCAUGAAAGCUUUCCCUCUAUAUUAAUUCUCAUAGCUUCUUCUUCCACCUUCUCAAGUCUUGUUUCAUGAAACUCAAAGCACUCCAUCACUCUGUUUCAGAUUCUUAACAUCAUUCACAAGCUCAUCAUGUUUUGCAUCCACCUUCCCUACCUCAUCUCUCACUGCUUCAUCGACCCAUAUAAAAAGACGCCCUUUCCAUCUUUUUCUAUCAUCAAACACAAACAACAUGAGGACUCAACAACAUGAUCCUGGUCGUCUCUCUCUGUUCCUCCACGUCAUCGUCUCUCUCUCUGUUCCUUGUCGUCUAUCUCUCUGUUCGUCGUCGUCUCUCUCUGUGUUCCUCACCGUCUCUAUCUAUGUUCCCCCACGUCUGUCUCUCUCUCUCUCUCUCUCUCUCUCUCUCUCUCUGUGUUCCUAGUUGUCUCUUUCUCACUAUGUGUUCUUUCUCGUUUGUUCUUCUGGUUCAGAACAACAAAGUCGAAACCUAAAUUUUAAUUUAGCCCCAAUUCGAUUUCAUUUUUAAUUAAUUCGGGU